This 563-nucleotide ribosomal RNA is filed under the name Listeria monocytogenes. RNAcentral describes it as "bacterial SSU rRNA". It matches the Rfam family "Bacterial small subunit ribosomal RNA", at positions 774 to 1338 of the family's 1533-position model. The record is from RNAcentral. Lineage: Bacteria; Bacillati; Bacillota; Bacilli; Caryophanales; Listeriaceae.
AGGAUUAGAUACCCUGGUAGUCCACGCCGUAAACGAUGAGUGCUAAGUGUUAGGGGGUUUCCGCCCCUUAGUGCUGCAGCUAACGCAUUAAGCACUCCGCCUGGGGAGUACGACCGCAAGGUUGAAACUCAAAGGAAUUGACGGGGGCCCGCACAAGCGGUGGAGCAUGUGGUUUAAUUCGAAGCAACGCGAAGAACCUUACCAGGUCUUGACAUCCUUUGACCACUCUGGAGACAGAGCUUUCCCUUCGGGGACAAAGUGACAGGUGGUGCAUGGUUGUCGUCAGCUCGUGUCGUGAGAUGUUGGGUUAAGUCCCGCAACGAGCGCAACCCUUGAUUUUAGUUGCCAGCAUUUAGUUGGGCACUCUAAAGUGACUGCCGGUGCAAGCCGGAGGAAGGUGGGGAUGACGUCAAAUCAUCAUGCCCCUUAUGACCUGGGCUACACACGUGCUACAAUGGAUAGUACAAAGGGUCGCGAAGCCGCGAGGUGGAGCUAAUCCCAUAAAACUAUUCUCAGUUCGGAUUGUAGGCUGCAACUCGCCUACAUGAAGCCGGAAUCGCUAG